This 93-nucleotide small nucleolar RNA is filed under the name Coniosporium apollinis CBS 100218. Its description in RNAcentral is "A. fumigatus snoRNA Afu_335". It matches the Rfam family "A. fumigatus snoRNA Afu_335". Lineage: Eukaryota; Fungi; Ascomycota; Dothideomycetes. The record is from Rfam by way of RNAcentral.
CGUCGUGAUGAACAUCCUGAUAGGGACAGCUUAUGCAUCGCAUGUGAUGUUACCAGGGAGAGUAUUUUAGUAGAUGCUUCUCUUCUUCUGAAC